This 464-nucleotide ribosomal RNA is filed under the name Actinomyces sp. oral taxon E33. RNAcentral's name for it is "bacterial SSU rRNA". It matches the Rfam family "Bacterial small subunit ribosomal RNA", at positions 28 to 474 of the family's 1533-position model. Lineage: Bacteria; Bacillati; Actinomycetota; Actinomycetes; Actinomycetales; Actinomycetaceae. The record is from RNAcentral.
GACGAACGCGGGCGGCGUGCUUAACACAUGCAAGUCGAACGGUGAAGGGACCAGCUUGCUGGUUCUGGAUGAGUGGCGAACGGGUGAGUAACACGUGAGUAACCUGCCCCCUUCUUCUGGAUAACCGCAUGAAAGUGUGGCUAAUACGGGAUAUUCUGGGUCUGUCGCAUGGCGGGCCCGGGAAAGAUGCGCCUUUGGGUGUUUUUGGUGGGGGAUGGGCUCGCGGCCUAUCAGCUUGUUGGUGGGGUGAUGGCCUACCAAGGCGGUGACGGGUAGCCGGCCUGAGAGGGUGGACGGUCACACUGGGACUGAGACACGGCCCAGACUCCUACGGGAGGCAGCAGUGGGGAAUAUUGCACAAUGGGCGCAAGCCUGAUGCAGCGACGCCGCGUGAGGGACGGAGGCCUUCGGGUUGUGAACCUCUUUCGCCGGUGGAGAAGGCGCCCCCGUGUGGGGUGCUGACU